This 78-nucleotide transfer RNA is filed under the name Pleodorina starrii. RNAcentral's name for it is "tRNA-Arg". The stretch from base 3 to 72 matches the Rfam family "tRNA". Rfam says of the family: Transfer RNA (tRNA) molecules are approximately 80 nucleotides in length. Their secondary structure includes four short double-helical elements and three loops (D, anti-codon, and T loops). Further hydrogen bonds mediate the characteristic L-shaped molecular structure. tRNAs have two regions of fundamental functional importance: the anti-codon, which is responsible for specific mRNA codon recognition, and the 3' end, to which the tRNAs corresponding amino acid is attached (by aminoacyl-tRNA synthetases). tRNAs cope with the degeneracy of the genetic code in two manners: having more than one tRNA (with a specific anti-codon) for a particular amino acid; and 'wobble' base-pairing, i.e. permitting non-standard base-pairing at the 3rd anti-codon position. The record is from RNAcentral. Lineage: Eukaryota; Viridiplantae; Chlorophyta; Chlorophyceae; Chlamydomonadales; Volvocaceae.
GGGCCUAUGGCUUAAUGGAAAGCGCCGCCGGUCUACGGAACCGGAGAGAAUCCAGGUUCGAUCCUGGUAGGCAGGUCA